This 75-nucleotide non-coding RNA is filed under the name unclassified sequences. RNAcentral describes it as "Gut-1 RNA". It matches the Rfam family "Gut-1 RNA". RNAcentral also lists the same sequence under 1 other name. The record is from RNAcentral.
CAACGAAAUAAAUCCUGUCGGAUUUGUGAAAUGCGCUUCGCGCGUGAAAUAUGGCUUCGCCAAGUGAAAUGCCUG